RNAcentral lists this ribosomal RNA (237 nucleotides) under uncultured Eubacteriales bacterium. RNAcentral describes it as "uncultured Clostridiales bacterium partial 16S ribosomal RNA". It matches the Rfam family "Bacterial small subunit ribosomal RNA", at positions 97 to 334 of the family's 1533-position model. The record is from RNAcentral. Lineage: Bacteria; Bacillati; Bacillota; Clostridia; Eubacteriales.
GGCGGACGGGUGAGUAACGCGUGGGUAACCUGCCUUACACAAGGGGAUAGCCGUUGGAAACGACGAAUAAUACCCUAUGAUGUUUCUAUCUCGCAUGAGAUAUUAACCAAAGUGUUAGCGGUGUAAGAUGGACUUGCGUCUGAUUAGCUAGUUGGUGAGAAAAAAGCCCACCAAGGCAACGAUCAGUAGCCGGCUUGAGAGAGUGUACGGCCACAUUGGGACUGAGACACGGCCCAG